Molecule: ribosomal RNA, 427 nt
Filed under: uncultured bacterium
Lineage: Bacteria
Description: bacterial SSU rRNA
Rfam family: Bacterial small subunit ribosomal RNA
Source: RNAcentral
UGGGGAAUUUUGGACAAUGGGCGAAAGCCUGAUCCAGCCAUGCCGCGUGAGUGAAGAAGGCCUUCGGGUUGUAAAGCUCUUUUAGUCGGAAAGAAAGAGUUGCAAUGAAUAAUUGUGAUUUACGACGGUACCGACAGAAAAAGCACCGGCUAACUACGUGCCAGCAGCCGCGGUAAUACGUAGGGUGCGAGCGUUAAUCGGAAUUACUGGGCGUAAAGGGUGCGCAGGCGGUCUUGCAAGUCAGAUGUGAAAGCCCCGGGCUUAACCUGGGAAUUGCGUUUGAAACUACAAGACUAGAGUGCAGCAGAGGGGAGUGGAAUUCCAUGUGUAGCAGUGAAAUGCGUAGAGAUGUGGAAGAACACCGAUGGCGAAGGCAGCUCCCUGGGUUGACACUGACGCUCAUGCACGAAAGCGUGGGGAGCAAACA